This 492-nucleotide ribosomal RNA is filed under the name uncultured bacterium. Its description in RNAcentral is "partial 16S ribosomal RNA". It matches the Rfam family "Bacterial small subunit ribosomal RNA", at positions 29 to 507 of the family's 1533-position model. The record is from RNAcentral.
AGUGAACGCUGGCGGUAGGCCUAACACAUGCAAGUCGAACGGCAGCACAGUAAGAGCUUGCUCUUACGGGUGGCGAGUGGCGGACGGGUGAGGCAUACAUCGGAAUCUACUUUUUCGUGGGGGAUAACGUAGGGAAACUUACGCUAAUACCGCAUACGACCUACGGGUGAAAGCAGGAGAUCUUCGGACCUUGCGCGAUUGAAUGAGCCGAUGUCGGAUUAGCUAGUUGGCGGGGUAAAGGCCCACCAAGGCGACGAUCCGUAGCUGGUCUGAGAGGAUGAUCAGCCACACUGGAACUGAGACACGGUCCAGACUCCUACGGGAGGCAGCAGUGGGGAAUAUUGGACAAUGGGCGCAAGCCUGAUCCAGCCAUACCGCGUGGGUGAAGAAGGCCUUCGGGUUGUAAAGCCCUUUUGUUGGGAAAGAAAAGCAGCAGGAGAAUACCCCGCUGUUCUGACGGUACCCAAAGAAUAAGCAACGGCUAACUUCGUG